GUGUUGUAGCUACUAUGUGUGGAGAUUCUUAGUCUUGAGACUCACAGCUGGACACCACUGAAAUCCAGCCCUACUCAGGAAGCCCCACACUGUGUGCAUUUUGCUGGCUUUCAGGUGACCAGUGCCAGAUGCUUCAAAGGGAAUGAUCAGAAGAGCAUCCAAUGAAG
Chelonia mydas (Green sea turtle) is the source of this 167-nucleotide long non-coding RNA. RefSeq lists it as uncharacterized. The transcript is spliced from 3 exons. NCBI's taxonomy places the organism in Eukaryota, Metazoa, Chordata, Testudines, Cheloniidae. The record is from RefSeq and is a predicted model, not a curated record.